GUCUCACUCUGAGUACUGUGUGUUUCAUCUGCCUUCACUAUCUCACAAUUAUUAUCAACUUGCUGGCUAUAAAAGGCAGGGGCUACAAACACAGUGAACCAAAUGCAGUGCUUGCUUCCUAUCUGUGGUCCAUUGCAUAGCAGUGUGCUUGGGUGCUGCGUAAGACAAUUCCCCCCAACGCCUCCAAAAAAUAGGACAUGGUCCACUGCAGGAGUUCAUAAUCUAGGAGUCCAGAGAGUCCAGGCUCAUCAUCCCUUCAGAAGAAAGAAUCUUCAGGCCUCUGCUCUUGUGAGAGUAAUUUCUCUUAACACUGACAGUGCAGCAAUACAACUACCACCACCUUUCAAUUAUUGAGAGGCAAUCAUCUAAAGCAUUUAGCAAGUGAUCCACUUACAGAGCCAAGCUAAGGGAGCUGAAGAGAAGAGGCCGCCGCCCCAACCCAGGUGUUGAUAAUUAUCUAGCCUUUUGCAAAGCCUCUUCCGUUUCUACUCUGCUCUUUAAGCUAUUUCAUGCCUUGAAGAUGUCUCUACCAGGGAAAAUAAAGAGAUUCAACUCUUCCCCCACCUCCUGCCUGUCUCCAAGACAGAGUGGGGCUGAUGACUGGAGGUGGGAAGGACUAGAGGAAGAUGCCACAAAAUUUAGCAACUGGGCCUGUUAGUCCAUCAAACUGGACUAACAGGAAAGAAGAUUAUGUAAGGA
This 699-nucleotide non-coding RNA is filed under the name Pan troglodytes (chimpanzee). The record is from RNAcentral. Lineage: Eukaryota; Metazoa; Chordata; Mammalia; Primates; Hominidae.